UACAACACCAAAGGUGUUUUGUAUUUGAGAGAUAGAGAUUGAUUUUCAGCGAAGUUCCGAGAUUGGGCUGGCUGGCUGUGUGAAUGAUUGCAUAGCGGGUUAGUUUAGACAGAAUUUGCCUGGCGGCCAUAGCGCGGUGGACCCACCUGAACCCAUGCCGAACUCAGAAGUGAAACGCCGUAGCGCCGAUGGUAGUGUGGGGUCUCCCCAUGCGAGAGUAGGACACUGCCAGGCAUCAAAU
RNAcentral lists this ribosomal RNA (241 nucleotides) under Yersinia enterocolitica subsp. enterocolitica 8081. The record is from RNAcentral. Lineage: Bacteria; Pseudomonadati; Pseudomonadota; Gammaproteobacteria; Enterobacterales; Yersiniaceae.